GAUGAACGCUGGCGGCGUGCCUAAUACAUGCAAGUCGAACGAAACUUCUUUAUCACCGAGUGCUUGCACUCACCGAUAAAGAGUUGAGUGGCGAACGGGUGAGUAACACGUGGGCAACCUGCCCAAAAGAGGGGGAUAACACUUGGAAACAGGUGCUAAUACCGCAUAACCAUAGUUACCGCAUGGUAACUAUGUAAAAGGUGGCUAUACUACCGCUUUUGGAUGGGCCCGCGGCGCAUUAGCUAGUUGGUAGGGUAAAGGCUUACCAAGGCAAUGAUGCGUAGCCGAAUUGAGAGGUUGAUCGGCCACAUUGGGACUGAGACACGGCCCAAACUCCUACGGGAGGCAGCAGUAGGGAAUCUUCCACAAUGGGCGAAAGCCUGGUGGAGCAACGCCGCGUGGGUGAAGAAGGUCUUCGGAUCGUAAAACCCUGUUGUUAGAGAAGAAAGUGCGUGAGAGUAACUGUUCACGUUUCGACGGUAUCUAACCGGAAAGCCACGGCUAACUACGUG
RNAcentral lists this ribosomal RNA (512 nucleotides) under uncultured bacterium. Its description in RNAcentral is "partial 16S ribosomal RNA". It matches the Rfam family "Bacterial small subunit ribosomal RNA", at positions 28 to 507 of the family's 1533-position model. The record is from RNAcentral.